This is an RNA transcript of Sinocyclocheilus rhinocerous, 1332 nucleotides long. It is a transcript of the gene named zinc finger protein 271-like, with no coding region annotated. The record is from RefSeq and is a predicted model, not a curated record. NCBI's taxonomy places the organism in Eukaryota, Metazoa, Chordata, Actinopteri, Cypriniformes, Cyprinidae. The transcript is spliced from 2 exons.
GAUUGAAGAAAAAGAGAAGAAUGAAGAAUCAAGUGAAGUUGAGGAGAAAAAUCAUGUCAAAACAGGAGAAAAACCUAUGAGUUGCACUCAAACCAAACAGAAAGAUUUAAAGAAAAGAAGAGCCAAGAAAUCUUUCACCUGCACUCAGUGUGGAAAGAGUUUAACACGCAAAACAAAUCUUAAGCGUCACAUGAGAGUUCAUACUGGAGAGAAACCGUUCACUUGUGAUCAGUGUGGCAAGAGUUUCUCACAAUCAGCACACCUUUAUGAUCACAUGAACAUCCACACUAGAGAGAACCAGCACGCAUGUGAUCAGUGUGGUAAAAUAUUUUUACGGGCUUCAGUUCUGAAGAAACACCUCAAAGUUCAUUCAAAGGAGAAGCCACAUUCAUGUUAUUUGUGUGGUAACAGUUUUUUGCAUCUACAAAAUUUGAAAGUACGUCAGAAAAUGCAUCCUGCUGUGACAGAGUGCAUGUGCUUUGAGUGUGAAAAGACUUUUACUUCAGCAACCUGUUUAAAACUGCAUGAGAGGAUUCACACUGGAGAAAAACCUUAUAGGUGUCCACAUUGCAACAAGAGAUUCAGUGAUUCAGGAGACCUAAAAAGACAUGAGAGGAUCCACACUGGAGUGAAACCUUAUAAGUGUUCACUCUGUGACAAGAGAUUCAGUCAGUCAGUACAUCUGAAAAGACACAAUAAUAUCCACACUGGAGAGAAACCUUAUAAGUGUUCACACUGUGACAAGAGAUUCAAUAGGUCAGGAGACCUGAAAACACAUGAGAGGAUCCAUAUUGGAGUGAAACCUUAUAAGUGUUCACACUGUGACAAGAGAUUCAGUCAAUCAACACAUCUGAAAACACAUGAGAGGAUUCACACUGGAGAGAAACCUUACAAGUGUUCACACUGUGACAAGAGAUUCAGUCGGUCAGCAAAUCUGAAAAAACAUGAGAGGAUCCACACUGGAGAGAAACCUUACAAGUGUUCACACUGUGACAAGAGAUUCAGUCAUUCAUCAAAUCUAAAAAGACACGAGAGGAUCCACACUGGAGAGUAACCAUAUCACUGCACUGCAUGUGGGAAGCGUUUCAAUCACUCAUCUGCUCUACACAGUCAUACAAAAAACAAUCACAGUAAGUAGAUCAUCUUCAGAUCCAGCACUUUCAGGUCUGAUGCUGCGAUCUCACCAAAUGCCAGAUAAUAAUGCGGGCAAGCUAAAAAAUAUAUAAUCUGGAUAAAUCUGUCCUAACUGUACACAUGUAAUCUAUGUGGAAAGAGUUUAAAAUGCAAAUACAAUCUUGAUGUUCACAUGAGAGAUCCACACUGGAGAGAAAC